RNAcentral lists this transfer RNA (88 nucleotides) under Candidatus Berkelbacteria bacterium. RNAcentral describes it as "tRNA-Leu". It matches the Rfam family "tRNA". From Rfam's summary of the family: Transfer RNA (tRNA) molecules are approximately 80 nucleotides in length. Their secondary structure includes four short double-helical elements and three loops (D, anti-codon, and T loops). Further hydrogen bonds mediate the characteristic L-shaped molecular structure. tRNAs have two regions of fundamental functional importance: the anti-codon, which is responsible for specific mRNA codon recognition, and the 3' end, to which the tRNAs corresponding amino acid is attached (by aminoacyl-tRNA synthetases). tRNAs cope with the degeneracy of the genetic code in two manners: having more than one tRNA (with a specific anti-codon) for a particular amino acid; and 'wobble' base-pairing, i.e. permitting non-standard base-pairing at the 3rd anti-codon position. The record is from RNAcentral. Lineage: Bacteria; Candidatus Berkelbacteria.
GCUGGUGUGGCGGAACGGUAGACGCAGAGGACUUAAAAUCCUCAGCCUCGUAAGGGGCGUGCAGGUUCGACUCCUGCCACCAGCACCA